AAAUCUUCAAAGUCAAACCUUUUGUUAAUUCAAUUGGUUCUGCUUUGGUAUUGGAGGAUUAUUGCAGCUUCACACCUGCUCCUCUUUGUGCAUUAGCUGGAUCUCAGUGUUAUGCUUGGUUCCACUCAGCGUGAUAAGUUAUCUAUCGCUGAGGACACCCUGUUAAAAAGGGGUGGCCAAGGUAAAUGCAGAUGAACCGCUUCUAAUAGUCCAUUGACUUGGACAAUAUCUAAUUUAUG
This 239-nucleotide unclassified non-coding RNA is filed under the name Thanatephorus cucumeris. RNAcentral's name for it is "partial internal transcribed spacer 2". The record is from RNAcentral. Lineage: Eukaryota; Fungi; Basidiomycota; Agaricomycetes; Cantharellales; Ceratobasidiaceae.